AGUGAACGAGGGAGGAAGGAAGAACACAUGCAAGUCGAGCGGAUGAAGGGAGCUUGCUCCUGGAUUCAGCGGCGGACGGGUGAGUAAUGCCUAGGAAUCUGCCUGGUAGUGGGGGAUAACGUCCGGAAACGGGCGCUAAUACCGCAUACGUCCUGAGGGAGAAAGUGGGGGAUCUUCGGACCUCACGCUAUCAGAUGAGCCUAGGUCGGAUUAGCUAGUUGGUGGGGUAAAGGCCUACCAAGGCGACGAUCCGUAACUGGUCUGAGAGGAUGAUCAGUCACACUGGAACUGAGACACGGUCCAGACUCCUACGGGAGGCAGCAGUGGGGAAUAUUGGACAAUGGGCGAAAGCCUGAUCCAGCCAUGCCGCGUGUGUGAAGAAGGUCUUCGGAUUGUAAAGCACUUUAAGUUGGGAGGAAGGGCAGUAAGUUAAUACCUUGCUGUUUUGACGUUACCAACAGAAUAAGCACCGGCUAACUUCGUG
Molecule: ribosomal RNA, 484 nt
Filed under: uncultured bacterium
Lineage: Bacteria
Description: partial 16S ribosomal RNA
Rfam family: Bacterial small subunit ribosomal RNA
Source: RNAcentral